CCUACGGGGGGCAGCAGUGGGGAAUAUUGCACAAUGGGGGAAACCCUGAUGCAGCGACGCCGCGUGAGUGAAGAAGUAUUUCGGUACGUAAAGCUCUAUCAGCAGGGAAGAAAAUGACGGUACCUGACUAAGAAGCCCCGGCUAACUACGUGCCAGCAGCCGCGGUAAUACGGAGGGGGCAAGCGUUAUCCGGAGUUACUGGGGGUAAAGGGAGCGUAGACGGCAGCGCAAGUCUGGAGUGAAAUCCCAUGGCUUAACCAUGGAACUGCUUUGGAAACUGGGCAGCUAGAGUGCAGGAGAGGUAAGCGGAAUUCCAAGUGUAGGGGUGAAAUGCGUAGAUAUUAGGAGGAACACCAGUGGCGAAGGCGGCUUACUGGAAUGUAACUGACGUUGAGGCACGAAAGCGUGGGGAGCAAACAGGAUUAGAUACCCCAGUAGUC
Molecule: ribosomal RNA, 440 nt
Filed under: uncultured bacterium
Lineage: Bacteria
Description: partial 16S ribosomal RNA
Rfam family: Bacterial small subunit ribosomal RNA
Source: RNAcentral